RNAcentral lists this ribosomal RNA (794 nucleotides) under uncultured Bacillota bacterium. RNAcentral describes it as "bacterial SSU rRNA". It matches the Rfam family "Bacterial small subunit ribosomal RNA", at positions 58 to 887 of the family's 1533-position model. The record is from RNAcentral. Lineage: Bacteria; Bacillati; Bacillota.
CAAGUCGAACGAGAAAGCCCGCAAGGGUGAGUAAAGUGGCGUACGGGUGAGUAACACGUGGAUAAUCUACCCUCUAGCGGGGAAUACCGCUGGGAAACCGGCGACAAUACCGCAUAAGCUCGAGAGAGGAAAGCAGCAAUGCGCUGGAGGAGGAGUCCGCGGCUGAUUAGCUAGUUGGUGAGGUAAUGGCUCACCAAGGCAAAGAUCAGUAGCCGGCCUGAGAGGGCACACGGCCACACUGGCACUGAAACACGGGCCAGACUCCUACGGGAGGCAGCAGUGGGGAAUCUUGCACAAUGGGGGAAACCCUGAUGCAGCGACGCCGCGUGAGCGAUGAAGCCCUUCGGGGUGUAAAGCUCUUUCGGCAGGGAAGAUGAUGACGGUACCUGCAGAAGCAGCUGCGGCUAACUACGUGCCAGCAGCCGCGGUAAUACGUAGGCAGCAAGCGUUGUUCGGAGUUACUGGGCGUAAAGGGUGUGUAGGCGGUUGGAUAAGUGUGGUGUGAAAUCUCCCGGCUCAACUGGGAGGGUGCGCUACAAACUGUCUGACUAGAGUGUGGGAUGGGUAAGUGGAAUUCCUGGUGUAGCGGUGAAAUGCGUAGAUAUCAGGAGGAACACCGGUGGUGUAGACGGCUUACUGGACCAUAACUGACGCUGAGACACGAAAGCGUGGGUAGCAAACAGGAUUAGAUACCCUGGUAGUCCACGCCCUAAACGAUGCAUAUUUGGUGUGGGUCAUUCAUUUGAUCCGUGCCGGAGCUAACGCGUUAAAUAUGCCGCCUGGGGAGUACAGUC